UAGUAACUGCGAGUGAAGCGGGAAAAGCUCAAAUUUAAAAUCUGGCAGCUUUGGCUGUCCGAGUUGUAGUCUGGAGAAGCGUCUUCCGCGCUGGACCGUGUACAAGUCUCUUGGAACAGAGCGUCAUAGAGGGUGAGAAUCCCGUCCAUGACACGGACUACCAGUGCUUUGUGAUGCGCUCUCAAAGAGUCGAGUUGUUUGGGAAUGCAGCUCAAAAUGGGUGGUAAAUUCCAUCUAAAGCUAAAUAUUGGCGAGAGACCGAUAGCGAACAAGUACCGUGAGGGAAAGAUGAAAAGCACUUUGGAAAGAGAGUUAAACAGUACGUGAAAUUGCUGAAAGGGAACCGCUUGAAGUCAGUCGCGUCUUGCAGAACUCAACCUGGCAUUUGCUUGGUGCACUUUCUGUAUGACGGGCCAACAUCAGUUUUGACUGCUGGAAAAAUUCCUUAGGAAUGUGGCACCUACGGGUGUGUUAUAGCCUUUGGUUGUAUACAGUGGUUGGGACUGAGGACCGCAGCACGCCUUAUGGCCGGGGUUCGCCCACGUACGUGCUUAGGAUGUUGGCGUAAUGGCUUUAAGCGACCCGUCUUGAAACACGGACCAAGGAGUCUAACAUGCCUGCGAGUGUUUGGGUGGUAAACCCGAGCGCGUAAUGAAAGUGAAAGUUGGGAUCCCUGUCGUGGGGAGCACCGACGCCCAUACCAGACCUUCUGUGACGGCUAUGCGGUUGAGCAUGUAUGUUGGGACCCGAAAGAUGGUGAACUAUGCCUGAAUAGGGUGAAGCCAGAGGAAACUCUGGUGGAGGCUCGUAGCGAUUCUGACGUGCAAAUCGAUCGUCAAAUUUGGGUAUAGGGGCGAAAGACUAAUCGAACCAUCUAGUAGCU
Molecule: ribosomal RNA, 883 nt
Filed under: fungal sp.
Lineage: Eukaryota; Fungi
Description: partial large subunit ribosomal RNA
Rfam family: Eukaryotic large subunit ribosomal RNA
Source: RNAcentral